UUCAUUCGCGGAGUAAUUUGCGGGUGCCCUGUGCAUGGGUGUGACGUCAGGGUCAGUUUGUAUGCUGCGGGAGAUGGUCAGUGAGGAGGUGCGUCACUUCGGUGAAAGUUAUAUCUCGCUGUCUAGUAGCCGUGGUUGAGACUGAGGUGCCUACAACAUGCCUUAAGGUUCCGUGUUGUCUCGUGUUGGUGACUGCUUUGAUAGCUUGCUAUGUCUGUGGUUUAUCAGUGCGAUUGAUGAUGCGGAUAACUUUUGCUGUUCGGGACUCUGGCGAAAUGGAGCGAUACGACCCGUCUUGAAACACGGACCAAGGAGUCUAACAUGUGUGCAAGUAUUAGGGCGUGGAAACCCAAAUGCGUAAUGAAAGUAAAUGCUGCUUAUGCAGCUGUGGUAGGAAAGGGCUGUCAAGGUCCUGGCACUAUCGACCGAUCAUGAGCCUACGGGCAAAAGAUUUGAGUAUGAGCAUAUAUGUUGGUACCCGAAAGAUGGUGAACUAUG
RNAcentral lists this ribosomal RNA (498 nucleotides) under Saprolegnia ferax. Its description in RNAcentral is "partial large subunit ribosomal RNA". It matches the Rfam family "Eukaryotic large subunit ribosomal RNA", at positions 450 to 835 of the family's 3401-position model. The record is from RNAcentral. Lineage: Eukaryota; Oomycota; Saprolegniomycetes; Saprolegniales; Saprolegniaceae.